GCAGGCUGCAACUCGCCUGCAUGAAGUUGGAAUUGCUAGUAAUCGCGGAUCAGCAUGCCGCGGUGAAUACGUUCCCGGGCCUUGUACACACCGCCCGUCACACCAUGGGAGCCGGUAAUACCCGAAGUCAGUAGCCUAACCGCAAGGGGGGCGCUGCCGAAGGUAGGAUUGGCGACUGGGGUGAAGUCGUAACAAGGUACC
RNAcentral lists this ribosomal RNA (201 nucleotides) under uncultured bacterium. RNAcentral describes it as "partial 16S ribosomal RNA". It matches the Rfam family "Bacterial small subunit ribosomal RNA", at positions 1300 to 1500 of the family's 1533-position model. The record is from RNAcentral.